Molecule: long non-coding RNA, 2922 nt
Organism: Felis catus (domestic cat)
Lineage: Eukaryota; Metazoa; Chordata; Mammalia; Carnivora; Felidae
Exons: 2
Source: RefSeq, a predicted model, not a curated record
GCUGGGACAGGAAGGGCUGUGGUUACCGCUGCUGACAAUCAGCUAGGAUGAAAAGAGGAAGGCAUUGCCACAGGUCUCAGCUAACAGGGAACGGAAGUUCCCAAAAUGGGGCUGUUGCAUCCUGUCUAUAAAGAGCACGGUGAAUACAAUGGAGGAGUUCGGUGCCGGGAUAUUAGUCCUGAUGUCUGGAGUUAGGCUACAGCAAGCAUUCCGUAAGUGCCCUCCCAAUGAGGGGCCAUUUUCAUUUCCUCCAAAAAUACUCACGGAGGCACAUAAAGGGAGGGAAGCGGACAAGAGGGCCUGUGCCUUACGCCUUUGCUCUUUAUAUCGGUAAGUGCGUAUUUAUAACCCUUCUCCUAUCAGCCGUCCUGCAGGGAUGCCUUCAGAGCUCUGAUCAUCCUGAGGCGGCGGGCUGUCAGGGCUCAGGGCCCGGGCUCUGAAUCCUCGCACCAGUACUUCCUAACUGGGCCACUCUGGGCCUUCAACUCUUCAUCUGUAAAAUGGGAGCAACAGACGUCACCUCACAGAGUCAGGUGUUCAUUACAGAACACGGUCCACAGGUCACUUCCACGAACGCCUCUCAGACACAUCUACACAUCAUUUCUCAACUACUUGCCAUUUUGCAAACAACUGUUCCAAAGAUCACCAUCAAAUGCUAAGAGCAUGAAAAGCAUGGAAGUCAAUCUAAUAAUGACUAGUUAUCCUACGAACCGCUGCAAGAACAGAGCUUCUCAAUCAAAAGCUUGUGUGCAAGACAGGUGGUCCUAGCCCCACAGACCCCAUGUUGCUGGAUUCCACACCUGGACCCUAAUGGUACUACCACAGACUGGUUAACUUGGCUGGAACGCACGCAAGCUCCUCCUCCUUUGUUUAUCUGGACUUUAAAAAAAAUGUUUACUUAUUUUGAGAGAGAGAGGGAGGGAGGGAGCAGGAGCAGGAGAGGGACAGAGUGAGAGGAAGACACAGAAUCCGAAGCAGGCUCCAGGCUCUGAGCUGUCAGCACAGAGCCUGAUGUGGGGCUCGAACUCACAGAGGGUGAGAUCAUGACCUGAGCUGAAGUCAGAUGCUCAACCAACUGAGCCCUCCCAGGCCCCCCUUUAGCUCUUCCUCCUUUGGACUCCCAGCUUUCUUUUGGCUGAUGCUCAUUCUUAGAAGUCAGAGACUUACUGACUUCUUUUGUCCUCAUGAGGCUGAACGUGUCGACACCUCUAAGGAAGCCAGAAAUGAUGUGUCCAACAGUUCAACCUUCGGGGGUACUUGCCAGAGGCCACGGAGAGCCUGGGCACUCUUCACAUAGGGGUAAUUACGAGAGCAGACAACACAAACCUCAGGAAGAUCUUCUAUUUACGAGAAUCUGACUUCGGACUUAGGAAAUCAGACUAGCUCACUUCUGUGUAUUCCCUAGACAUCCUCAGCACCCAGGACAAUGCAGGAAUUAACUGCAAAUUCAAAUGUUUAUCGAGAGCUUACUCUCGGCCAGAAAACUUUGCAAGGUACGUGACAUAAAAUACCGCAACAGCCCCGCAAAGCUGACAUUUUCAUCCCCGUUUUGCAAAUGACGCAACUGCAAGUCAUGAAGAUAGAGUGGCUCUUCCGAUGUCCCACCCCAGAGAAGAGGUCUGUGCAGAGCCUGGACACAGACGUAAAGACCACCUGUGGUUGCUUAGUAUCCCAUAAACAGGGCUGCUCUAGGGUGAGGCUUCCUGUAGACUCCGUGGCCACUUCCAGGCCCUCGACAGAACCACACGCAUCUCUGUUGGCACCUCACCUACAAACGACAAGACGCUGAACGCCAAUUCUGCUUUUGCUCUUGGCAAGGAGCCAAAUGUAAGGCUCCUCUAGGACAGAUGCCAUAUGGAAUCGGACCACAAGUUAGAGAGCACCAAGCCAGCGGGCAUUGGUGGUAUCAGUCUCAGAGCCAAGAUGAAAAUACAAUGAUGUUUGGGGGGAAAAAAUGAGAGUACUUGCUUUUUGCUUUUAGCACAGGCACUGACCUACUUCCCUACUCUAUUUUUGCGUAAAGAAAACUAGAUCAACAGAGGAUAUGCAAAAUCUUCUGAGGUUCCUCUAAGCAGUAAAAUAUUACAAAAAUUAUAAUAAUUCAUUCGACAUAUUAUUGUCAUUAACUCCAAGACAAUAAGCUUUUAUAUGGUCCAGUGAGUUGCAAGUUUCCUUUUAGAGAGUGGUAACAAAAGAAUUGAUAGACCUAUUCUUUCAUCUUGUUGCUUGGAAAGCAACUUUCUGCACUCUAUCUCCUUUAAUCUAUAGGAAAAGAAGAAUGACAAACUUACAAAAUGGGUAUAAGAAGCGAUAAGGAGCUCUAAGCAAUUGUAUCAGUGCUGAAAAAAAGAGAAGACAUAAAAUGCCCCCUUCAGGAUACAGAUCAACCCCAAAACAACACAAAAGGGAUGCCUUGUCUUGGACAAAUUUUGUGUAAAGACAGCUAAUUUCCCUGAGGGUUUAUCAGCAAUCUUACUAUUCCUAUCCUUUUUAUCCAUCUUAUUUUGGUUUUUUUUUGGUCUUUUUUUUUUUUUUUUUUAGAAUGUCUUGUGUCCACACUGCCCAACUCUGGACAGUGGUGGAGAUGCUCUGUAACUGCACAAUCCAAUAUGGUAGCCAAUAGUUACAAGUGGCUACACCUGAAAUUAUCACAGCUGACAAACAAUUUUUAACUUUAUCUGUAAUUAAAUACCUCUAACUGCAAAUACACUUAAAAAAAAACUAAGUAGAGUUGAGAUUACUAAAAUAUUAUCUCCUCAGGAGGUUUUGGGAAAACCAGAAUAAGGGGCCAGGAAAAGGACACCAAUGCUGGGGGCACCUGGUAGCAAGUCUGUGGGCUGGUGGGCCGGAUGGUCCUGGGUUCUCGUCCUGGCUCAGCGUUAAUGUAACUGUGGGAUCCCAAUAAACCAUGUACCCAGCCUG